RNAcentral lists this ribosomal RNA (2925 nucleotides) under Escherichia coli. RNAcentral's name for it is "bacterial LSU rRNA". It matches the Rfam family "Bacterial large subunit ribosomal RNA". The record is from RNAcentral. Lineage: Bacteria; Pseudomonadati; Pseudomonadota; Gammaproteobacteria; Enterobacterales; Enterobacteriaceae.
GGGUUGUGAGGUUAAGCGACUAAGCGUACACGGUGGAUGCCCUGGCAGUCAGAGGCGAUGAAGGACGUGCUAAUCUGCGAUAAGCGUCGGUAAGGUGAUAUGAACCGUUAUAACCGGCGAUUUCCGAAUGGGGAAACCCAGUGUGUUUCGACACACUAUCAUUAACUGAAUCCAUAGGUUAAUGAGGCGAACCGGGGGAACUGAAACAUCUAAGUACCCCGAGGAAAAGAAAUCAACCGAGAUUCCCCCAGUAGCGGCGAGCGAACGGGGAGCAGCCCAGAGCCUGAAUCAGUGUGUGUGUUAGUGGAAGCGUCUGGAAAGGCGCGCGAUACAGGGUGACAGCCCCGUACACAAAAAUGCACAUGCUGUGAGCUCGAUGAGUAGGGCGGGACACGUGGUAUCCUGUCUGAAUAUGGGGGGACCAUCCUCCAAGGCUAAAUACUCCUGACUGACCGAUAGUGAACCAGUACCGUGAGGGAAAGGCGAAAAGAACCCCGGCGAGGGGAGUGAAAAAGAACCUGAAACCGUGUACGUACAAGCAGUGGGAGCACGCUUCGGCGUGUGACUGCGUACCUUUUGUAUAAUGGGUCAGCGACUUAUAUUCUGUAGCAAGGUUAACCGAAUAGGGGAGCCGAAGGGAAACCGAGUCUUAACUGGGCGUUAAGUUGCAGGGUAUAGACCCGAAACCCGGUGAUCUAGCCAUGGGCAGGUUGAAGGUUGGGUAACACUAACUGGAGGACCGAACCGACUAAUGUUGAAAAAUUAGCGGAUGACUUGUGGCUGGGGGUGAAAGGCCAAUCAAACCGGGAGAUAGCUGGUUCUCCCCGAAAGCUAUUUAGGUAGCGCCUCGUGAAUUCAUCUCCGGGGGUAGAGCACUGUUUCGGCAAGGGGGUCAUCCCGACUUACCAACCCGAUGCAAACUGCGAAUACCGGAGAAUGUUAUCACGGGAGACACACGGCGGGUGCUAACGUCCGUCGUGAAGAGGGAAACAACCCAGACCGCCAGCUAAGGUCCCAAAGUCAUGGUUAAGUGGGAAACGAUGUGGGAAGGCCCAGACAGCCAGGAUGUUGGCUUAGAAGCAGCCAUCAUUUAAAGAAAGCGUAAUAGCUCACUGGUCGAGUCGGCCUGCGCGGAAGAUGUAACGGGGCUAAACCAUGCACCGAAGCUGCGGCAGCGACGCUUAUGCGUUGUUGGGUAGGGGAGCGUUCUGUAAGCCUGUGAAGGUGUGCUGUGAGGCAUGCUGGAGGUAUCAGAAGUGCGAAUGCUGACAUAAGUAACGAUAAAGCGGGUGAAAAGCCCGCUCGCCGGAAGACCAAGGGUUCCUGUCCAACGUUAAUCGGGGCAGGGUGAGUCGACCCCUAAGGCGAGGCCGAAAGGCGUAGUCGAUGGGAAACAGGUUAAUAUUCCUGUACUUGGUGUUACUGCGAAGGGGGGACGGAGAAGGCUAUGUUGGCCGGGCGACGGUUGUCCCGGUUUAAGCGUGUAGGCUGGUUUUCCAGGCAAAUCCGGAAAAUCAAGGCUGAGGCGUGAUGACGAGGCACUACGGUGCUGAAGCAACAAAUGCCCUGCUUCCAGGAAAAGCCUCUAAGCAUCAGGUAACAUCAAAUCGUACCCCAAACCGACACAGGUGGUCAGGUAGAGAAUACCAAGGCGCUUGAGAGAACUCGGGUGAAGGAACUAGGCAAAAUGGUGCCGUAACUUCGGGAGAAGGCACGCUGAUAUGUAGGUGAAGCGACUUGCUCGUGGAGCUGAAAUCAGUCGAAGAUACCAGCUGGCUGCAACUGUUUAUUAAAAACACAGCACUGUGCAAACACGAAAGUGGACGUAUACGGUGUGACGCCUGCCCGGUGCCGGAAGGUUAAUUGAUGGGGUCAGCGCAAGCGAAGCUCUUGAUCGAAGCCCCGGUAAACGGCGGCCGUAACUAUAACGGUCCUAAGGUAGCGAAAUUCCUUGUCGGGUAAGUUCCGACCUGCACGAAUGGCGUAAUGAUGGCCAGGCUGUCUCCACCCGAGACUCAGUGAAAUUGAACUCGCUGUGAAGAUGCAGUGUACCCGCGGCAAGACGGAAAGACCCCGUGAACCUUUACUAUAGCUUGACACUGAACAUUGAGCCUUGAUGUGUAGGAUAGGUGGGAGGCUUAGAAGUGUGGACGCCAGUCUGCAUGGAGCCGACCUUGAAAUACCACCCUUUAAUGUUUGAUGUUCUAACGUUGACCCGUAAUCCGGGUUGCGGACAGUGUCUGGUGGGUAGUUUGACUGGGGCGGUCUCCUCCUAAAGAGUAACGGAGGAGCACGAAGGUUGGCUAAUCCUGGUCGGACAUCAGGAGGUUAGUGCAAUGGCAUAAGCCAGCUUGACUGCGAGCGUGACGGCGCGAGCAGGUGCGAAAGCAGGUCAUAGUGAUCCGGUGGUUCUGAAUGGAAGGGCCAUCGCUCAACGGAUAAAAGGUACUCCGGGGAUAACAGGCUGAUACCGCCCAAGAGUUCAUAUCGACGGCGGUGUUUGGCACCUCGAUGUCGGCUCAUCACAUCCUGGGGCUGAAGUAGGUCCCAAGGGUAUGGCUGUUCGCCAUUUAAAGUGGUACGCGAGCUGGGUUUAGAACGUCGUGAGACAGUUCGGUCCCUAUCUGCCGUGGGCGCUGGAGAACUGAGGGGGGCUGCUCCUAGUACGAGAGGACCGGAGUGGACGCAUCACUGGUGUUCGGGUUGUCAUGCCAAUGGCACUGCCCGGUAGCUAAAUGCGGAAGAGAUAAGUGCUGAAAGCAUCUAAGCACGAAACUUGCCCCGAGAUGAGUUCUCCCUGACCCUUUAAGGGUCCUGAAGGAACGUUGAAGACGACGACGUUGAUAGGCCGGGUGUGUAAGCGCAGCGAUGCGUUGAGCUAACCGGUACUAAUGAACCGUGAGGCUUAACCUUACAACGCCGAAG